RNAcentral lists this ribosomal RNA (507 nucleotides) under uncultured bacterium. Its description in RNAcentral is "bacterial SSU rRNA". It matches the Rfam family "Bacterial small subunit ribosomal RNA", at positions 19 to 518 of the family's 1533-position model. The record is from RNAcentral.
AUGGCUCAGGAUGAACGCUAGCGGCAGGCUUAACACAUGCAAGUCGAGGGGCAUCGGGAGUAGCAAUACUUGCCGGCGACCGGCGCAAGGGUGCGUAACGCGUGAGCAACAUGCCCGUAUCAGGGGGGAUAAUCCAUGGAAACGUGGUCUAAUACCCCAUAGUAAUUAUGUAAGGCAUCUUAUAUAAUUUAAAGCUUUGGUGGAUACGGAUUGGCUCGCGUGACAUUAGCUGGAUGGUAAGGUAACGGCUUACCAUGGCUACGAUGUCUAGGGGUUCUGAGAGGAAGGUCCCCCCACACUGGAACUGAGACACGGUCCAGACUCCUACGGGAGGCAGCAGUGAGGAAUAUUGGACAAUGGAUGGAAAUCUGAUCCAGCCAUGCCGCGUGCAGGAAAGACGGCCCUAUGGGUUGUAAACUGCUUUUGUAUGGGAGCAAUAAGGGCUACGUGUAGUCCGAUGAGAGUACCAUACGAAUAAGCACCGGCUAACUCCGUGCCAGCAGCCGC